This 484-nucleotide ribosomal RNA is filed under the name uncultured bacterium. RNAcentral's name for it is "partial 16S ribosomal RNA". It matches the Rfam family "Bacterial small subunit ribosomal RNA", at positions 30 to 507 of the family's 1533-position model. The record is from RNAcentral.
AUUGAACGCUGGCGGCAGGCCUAACACAUGCAAGUCGAGCGGAUGAAGGGAGCUUGCUCCUGGAUUCAGCGGCGGACGGGUGAGUAAUGCCUAGGAAUCUGCCUGGUAGUAGGGGAUAACGUCCGGAAACGGGCGCUAAUACCGCAUACGUCCUGAGGGAGAAAGUGGGGGAUCUUCGGACCUCACGCUAUCAGAUGAGCCUAGGUCGGAUUAGCUAGUUGGUGGGGUAAAGGCCUACCAAGGCGACGAUCCGUAACUGGUCUGAGAGGAUGAUCAGUCACACUGGAACUGAGACACGGUCCAGACUCCUACGGGAGGCAGCAGUGGGGAAUAUUGGACAAUGGGCGAAAGCCUGAUCCAGCCAUGCCGCGUGUGUGAAGAAGGUCUUCGGAUUGUAAAGCACUUUAAGUUGGGAGGAAGGGCAGUAAGUGAAUACCUUGCUGUUUUGACGUUACCAACAGAAUAAGCACCGGCUAACUUCGUG